CCCGGCUCUGAAGGAGCAACUUGGAAUUGAUGUUCGUCUGAAGAGGGUUUCGCGGCCCAAAUCAGUGCCGAGCAUAUUCCCUCGGGGGACAAGCUCGAGGGGGGCGAGCGGCACCGACUCCAGCUGCAGGGGGUCUCGUGCUCUGGAGAAAAGGCAGCGGCUGGAGAUACUCCAGGAAUGCCAGUCUGAGUAGGCCUAUGUUGCUGCAGAGGAAAGAGAUGGCUUCACUGCUGACGGGGUCCCAUCAAUUGAUGUGUCAAGAAGAAGUUGCAGAGCCUUGGUCAAACCAGAGGUUGCCAGGAUGUCAAACCCUGGGUGGGAAGUAUAAUAAACCAUCUGUACUGGGCUGUGGUCUCGACGCCUCCUGACAAUGUUCAACUUGUGGUGGACAAAUGGACAUCAGUUAUGGAUCACAUCCACAACAGGCAUACCGGAUUCGAGGGACUGUUCUCUUCUUGUGCACACAGAGUCUUGGAAGGCAGGGAACAGCCUGUGUCACUUUUCAUACAAAGGGAUGGAGAGCAGGCUAUGCUGAAGAGCUGAUGCGGAUGGUGGAGGCCAUGUGUCGAGUUGAGGACUACAGCUGUGAUGACUUUGACAUUCCAGACCUAUCCCCUGUUCCAGAGCCACUGAGUGCAUCAUGUGAAAAGCCGGAUAAGAGGGCAGCAGUCAGUAC
Molecule: long non-coding RNA, 676 nt
Organism: Engraulis encrasicolus (European anchovy)
Lineage: Eukaryota; Metazoa; Chordata; Actinopteri; Clupeiformes; Engraulidae
Exons: 4
Source: RefSeq, a predicted model, not a curated record